Molecule: ribosomal RNA, 253 nt
Filed under: uncultured bacterium
Lineage: Bacteria
Description: partial 16S ribosomal RNA
Rfam family: Bacterial small subunit ribosomal RNA
Source: RNAcentral
CACGUAGGGGACGAGCGUUGUCCGGAAUCAUUGGGCGUAAAGCGCGUGUAGGCGGUCCGGUAAGUCCGCUGUGAAAGUCGGGGGCUCAACCCUCGGAUGCCGGUGGAUACUGUCGGACUAGAGUACGGAAGAGGCGAGUGGAAUUCCUGGUGUAGCGGUGAAAUGCGCAGAUAUCAGGAGGAACACCAAUUGCGAAGGCAGCUCGCUGGGACGUUACUGACGCUGAGACGCGAAAGCGUGGGGAGCAAACAGG